Molecule: transfer RNA, 59 nt
Filed under: Trioza erytreae
Lineage: Eukaryota; Metazoa; Arthropoda; Insecta; Hemiptera; Triozidae
Description: tRNA-Asp
Source: RNAcentral
AGAGGUUAGUUAAUUUAUAAUAUUGAAUUGUCAUAUCAAAGUAAUUUUUUACUUCUUUA